AAUGCAUCGAGAUAUCUGAGGAUGUUGAAUGAAUUCGUGGCUCGAGUUCUCGCGUUCAUGCUUCUUCUGCCUGUUUUGUUGUCAAAUUUGAUGCUUUAUUUUGGCUUUGGGGGUUAAAUUAGGGUUUAUUUGGAUGCAGAUUGAUGCUUGGCUACGCGUAUCAAACAUUUGAAUGCUUUAAAAUGAUGGAGGUGGGGGCAAGCUAGCAUAGGGCAACUCCAUUUCUGGUGCCAAUACUGGGUGAUUGUUGCAAUCUUGACGGUCUUUGAAAGAUUCUUCGAUGUGUUCAUUUCAUGGUUGCCAUUGUCUGAUGAGACCAAGCUAGCAUUCUUCAUCUACUUGUGGCACCCAAAAACAAAGGU
This is a long non-coding RNA of Asparagus officinalis (garden asparagus), 362 nucleotides long. RefSeq lists it as uncharacterized. The record is from RefSeq and is a predicted model, not a curated record. NCBI's taxonomy places the organism in Eukaryota, Viridiplantae, Streptophyta, Magnoliopsida, Asparagales, Asparagaceae. The transcript is spliced from 3 exons.